RNAcentral lists this ribosomal RNA (838 nucleotides) under uncultured archaeon. RNAcentral's name for it is "bacterial SSU rRNA". It matches the Rfam family "Archaeal small subunit ribosomal RNA", at positions 21 to 859 of the family's 1478-position model. The record is from RNAcentral.
AGGUUACUGCUAUCGGUGUUCGCCUAAGCCAUGCGAGUCAUAUGUUCGUAAGAACAUGGCGUACUGCUCAGUAACACGUGGAUAACCUGCCCUUGGGUCCGGCAUAACCCCGGGAAACUGGGGAUAAUUCCGGAUAACGCACAUAUGCUGGAAUGCUUUAUGCGUAAAAUGGAUUCGUCUGCCCAAGGAUGGGUCUGCGGCCUAUCAGGUAGUAGUGGGUGUAAUGUACCUACUAGCCUACGACGGGUACGGGUUGUGAGAGCAAGAGCCCGGAGAUGGAUUCUGGGACAUGAAUCCAGGCCCUACGGGGCGCAGCAGGCGCGAAAACUUUACAAUGCGGGAAACCGUGAUAAGGGGACACCGAGUGCCAGCAUCCUAUGCUGGCUGUCCGGGUGUGUAAAAUACACCUGUUAGCAAGGGCCGGGCAAGACCGGUGCCAGCCGCCGCGGUAACACCGGCGGCCCGAGUGGUGAUCGUGAUUAUUGGGUCUAAAGGGUCCGUAGCCGGUUUGGUCAGUCCUCCGGGAAAUCUGACAGCUUAACUGUUAGGCUUUCGGAGGAUACUGCCAGACUUGGAACCGGGAGAGGUAAGAGGUACUACAGGGGUAGGAGUGAAAUCUUGUAAUCCCUGUGGGACCACCUGUGGCGAAGGCGUCUUACCAGAACGGGUUCGACGGUGAGGGACGAAAGCUGGGGGCACGAACCGGAUUAGAUACCCGGGUAGUCCCAGCCGUAAACGAUGCUCGCUAGGUGUCAGGCAUGGCGCGACCGUGUCUGGUGCCGCAGGGAAGCCGUGAAGCGAGCCACCUGGGAAGUACGGCCGCAAGGCUGAAACUUAA